UGAUCACACAAGUACAAUCAUUUUAGGCCAGAAUGAUAAGGCAUAGACCUGAGAAGCCUUACGUGCUCAUUCAGUAGCACAUCUGGAGAAAAGGAGGCUGGGGGGGACCUUUAUCACCCUCUACAAUUGCCUGAAAGGAAGCUGUAGCCAGGUGAUCGUUGGCCUCUUCUCCCAGGCAACCAGCAACAGGACCAGAAGUCCUCAGGCUGCACCAGGUGAUGUUCAGGUUGGACAUCAGGAAGAAGGACUUCAAGCAUUAGAACAGGAUGCCCAGGGAAGCCAUGGAGGCCCCAUCCCUGGAGGUGUUCAGUAAAUGACUGGACAUGGCACUUAGUGCUCUGGUCUCAGAGACAAGGUGGGGAUCAGUCACAGGUUGGACUAAAUCUUGGAGGUCUUUUCUGAGAUUCUUUCAGCACAGCCUGGUGUUAACUAAUAUAUAUAGAUAUUUACAUAAUUCAUAACAAGAAGGAAUUUCCAGUAUUUUUUGGAAUUUACACUCCUGAGAUGAAGCUAACCCUUAAGAAAAGACAUAUCAACAGACAGGGAAGACAAAGCAGAGAAAACUGCCUGUUUUCUUUUCACUGCAGGAUCUGGAGCUUCAUGGGUCAGUGGAAAGGGCUGUAUGCCAUUGCAACUACAACUGGAAGUAACAUCUGGAAAAUCUCUUCCAUGACAUCCCAACCCAAUGAGAUUUCAAAUUGCUUCAUAGGUUGCCUAAGAACCUGGCAAUUACUGCCUGGAGCCAGUGGCAUCUCAACAACAACAGGACUACUGCAGCUACCAUUAAUCGAGUGUCAUGAUAACAGCAACAGGUGAAGCAAGGAAAAACAGCAAGGGACAAUUGCAGGCUGUAAAGAUUCUUAAGAGAAGUACAAAUAUUAUCAGUCAUUAAAAAUACUCUCAAUUAAGGGAAUUUAUUCUCCAUACAACAUGAAUAACUAUACUACUUUGUUCUACUAACCACAGAAUCAAGGUAUGGGUUUGAAUGGACCUUAAAGAUCAACUAGUUCCAACUCCUCUGCCAUGGGCAGGGAUGCCUUCCACUGGUUCAGGUUACUCAGAGCUUCCUCCAACCUGGACUUGAACGUUUCAAGGGAUGGGCAUCCACAACUUCUCUGGGCAACCUGUGCCUGGGCCUCAGUGCUCUCACAGGAACGAACCUUUUCCUAAUAGCUAAUCUAAGCCUUUUUUCUGUCAGUUUGAAGCCUUGCCCCCAUAUCCUGUCAUUCCAGACCCUUGUAAAUAGUCUCUUCUCCUUCUUUCCUGCGGGGUCCCUUCACGUACUUGAAGGAAAUAAUUAGGUCACCCCAAAGCUUUUCCUUUUCCAGGCUGAACAAUCCUAAUUCUCCCAGCCUUUCAACAGAGAAAAGAGGUGCUCUUAUCAUCUUGGUGGCCACCUGUGGACUGGCUCCAACAGUCCAAGGACUGCCUGUCCUUCC
This 1439-nucleotide long non-coding RNA is filed under the name Cyanistes caeruleus (blue tit). RNAcentral describes it as "lncRNA (ENSCCEG00000017837.1)". The record is from RNAcentral. Lineage: Eukaryota; Metazoa; Chordata; Aves; Passeriformes; Paridae.